Molecule: ribosomal RNA, 434 nt
Filed under: uncultured bacterium
Lineage: Bacteria
Description: partial 16S ribosomal RNA
Rfam family: Bacterial small subunit ribosomal RNA
Source: RNAcentral
GCGAACGCUGGCGGCAGGCUUAACACAUGCAAGUCGAGCGGGCACUUUCGGGUGUCAGCGGCGGACGGGUGAGUAACGCGUGGGAACGUGCCCUCUGGUUCGGAAUAACUCAGGGAAACUUGAGCUAAUACCGGAUACGCCCUUUUGGGGAAAGGCUUGCUGCCGGAGGAUCGGCCCGCGUCUGAUUAGCUAGUUGGUGAGGUAACGGCUCACCAAGGCGACGAUCAGUAGCUGGUCUGAGAGGAUGAUCAGCCACACUGGGACUGAGACACGGCCCAGACUCCUACGGGAGGCAGUAGUGGGGAAUAUUGGACAAUGGGCGCAAGCCUGAUCCAGCCAUGCCGCGUGAGUGAUGAAGGCCUUAGGGUUGUAAAGCUCUUUUAUCCGGGACGAUAAUGACGGUACCGGAGGAAUAAGCCCCGGCUAACUUCGUG